GCUCCGGUGAGUGGCCUCUGCUGGACCGUGGAUCCCGGGCGGGCGUGCGGGCGGCAGCGUACGCGGCCUUCUACUCGCCCGGGUGUCCGGUGCCUCGCUUCUCCCUGGGACCCUGUCGUCAAUAUCGAGGCCUGCCAGUGAGCUUCUACCGCCAUGGACCUGUUGUUCGGGCGCCGGAAGACGCCAGAGGAGCUACUGCGGCAGAACCAGAGGGCCCUGAACCGUGCCAUGCGGGAGCUGGACCGCGAGCGGCAGAAACUAGAGACCCAGGAGAAGAAAAUCAUUGCAGACAUCAAGAAGAUGGCCAAGCAAGGCCAGAUGGAUGCUGUUCGCAUCAUGGCAAAAGACUUGGUGCGCACCCGGCGCUAUGUGCGCAAGUUUGUAUUGAUGCGGGCCAACAUCCAGGCUGUGUCCCUCAAGAUCCAGACACUCAAGUCCAACAACUCAAUGGCACAAGCCAUGAAGGGUGUCACCAAGGCCAUGGGCACCAUGAACAGACAGGUGCGCUUUUCCCAAUCUCCCUUCCCACUCCCACGACCCAUGGGGACCACACUCACACUCUGUCACUUCCAGCUGAAGUUGCCCCAGAUCCAGAAGAUCAUGAUGGAGUUUGAGCGGCAGGCAGAGAUCAUGGAUAUGAAGGAGGAGAUGAUGAAUGAUG
Molecule: small RNA, 661 nt
Filed under: Pongo abelii (Sumatran orangutan)
Lineage: Eukaryota; Metazoa; Chordata; Mammalia; Primates; Hominidae
Description: retained intron
Source: RNAcentral